This is a non-coding RNA of Glycine max (soybean), 120 nucleotides long. The record is from Rfam. Lineage: Eukaryota; Viridiplantae; Streptophyta; Magnoliopsida; Fabales; Fabaceae.
UUCUUAUUGGAUUAUGACAACCACGUGUUCUAUUCUAAUUGACCAAUGACAACUACAAUACAUUUCAUCUUCCAUAGAGUUGACAUCCAAUCAGAUCAUGAUAUGUGAUCGUCAUCAUCC